UACAGAGGUCUCAAGCGUUGUUCGGAUUCAUUGGGCGUAAAGGGUGCGUAGGCGGCGCGGUAAGUCGGGUGUGAAAUCUCGGAGCUUAACUCCGAAACUGCAUUCGAUACUGCCGUGCUUGAGGACUGGAGAGGAGACUGGAAUUUACGGUGUAGCGGUGAAAUGCGUAGAUAUCGUGAGGAAGACCAGUGGCGAAGGCGGGUCUCUGGACAGUUCCUGACACUGAGACACGAAGGCCAGGGGAGCAAACGGG
RNAcentral lists this ribosomal RNA (253 nucleotides) under uncultured bacterium. Its description in RNAcentral is "partial 16S ribosomal RNA". It matches the Rfam family "Bacterial small subunit ribosomal RNA", at positions 524 to 776 of the family's 1533-position model. The record is from RNAcentral.